Molecule: ribosomal RNA, 682 nt
Filed under: Heterosigma akashiwo
Lineage: Eukaryota; Raphidophyceae; Chattonellales; Chattonellaceae
Description: eukaryotic LSU rRNA
Rfam family: Eukaryotic large subunit ribosomal RNA
Source: RNAcentral
UAUAAUUAAGGGGAGGAAAAGAAACCAACUCGGAUUCCCCUAGUAACGGCGAGUGAAGCGGGAAGAGCUCAUGUUGUAAAUCUCCAGCUUGCUGGCGAAUUGUAGUCUAAAGGUGCGUGCUCAGUCGUGGUCCCGGGCUAAGUCUGUUGGAAAACAGCAUCAUGGACGGUGACAAUCCGGUUCUUGCCUGGGGUCCCGCGGCGUACGAGCCGUUUCCGACGAGUCGUGUUGCUUGGGAUUGCAGCACUAAGUGGGUGGUAAAUUCCAUCUAAAGCUAAAUAUUGGUGGGAGACCGAUAGCGAACAAGUACCGUGAGGGAAAGAUGAAAAGACUUUUGAAAAGAGAGUAAAAUAGUACCUGAAACUGCUGAAAGGGAAGCGAUUGAAGUCAGUGUUGCUCCUGGUCUUUUUGCCGUCGCCCCCGUGGGGGUUGCGGCGUGGGGCCUGGAGCGUUUCAACAUGCGUUCUGUUCCGCGGGAAAUGUUCAGUGUGCUGGAACCUUCGGGGAAACGCACUGUUCUUGUCGUGGUUAGGACGGAGGACCUUUGCUCCUUUGACUGCGCGUUCCUCUCUCGGGUAUGCUGGUGUCUACUGCUUGCAGUUUUCAUUUUCAUGCUUGCGACUGUGCGUGUUAUUCAUGAGCGAACAUGAUGUUGAAGAAAUGGCUUUAAUUACCCCGUCUU